UACGGGGGGGGCAAGCGUUGUUCGGAAUUACUGGGCGUAAUGGGCUCGUAGGCGGCCAACUAAGUCAGACGUGAAAUCCCUCGGCUUAACCGGGGAACUGCGUCUGAUACUGGAUGGCUUGAGUUCGGGAGAGGGAUGCGGAAUUCCAGGUGUAGCGGUGAAAUGCGUAGAUAUCUGGAGGAACACCGGUGGCGAAGGCGGCAUCCUGGACCGAUACUGACGCUGAGGAGCGAAAGCCAGGGGAGCAAACGGG
This 253-nucleotide ribosomal RNA is filed under the name uncultured bacterium. RNAcentral's name for it is "partial 16S ribosomal RNA". It matches the Rfam family "Bacterial small subunit ribosomal RNA", at positions 524 to 776 of the family's 1533-position model. The record is from RNAcentral.